RNAcentral lists this ribosomal RNA (480 nucleotides) under uncultured bacterium. RNAcentral's name for it is "bacterial SSU rRNA". It matches the Rfam family "Bacterial small subunit ribosomal RNA", at positions 15 to 507 of the family's 1533-position model. The record is from RNAcentral.
GAUCAUGGCUCAGGACGAACGCUGGCGGCGUGCCUAACACAUGCAAGUCGAACGAGGUCCAAGGAAGCUUGCUUCCUGAAGACCUAGUGGCGAACGGGUGAGUAACACGUGAGAAACCUGCCUCGGAGUGGGGAAUAACUCGGGGAAACUCGAGCUAAUACCGCAUACCUUCACAUGAUCGCAUGGUCGAGUGAAGAAAGAAUUUCGCUCUGAGAGGGUCUCGCGGCCUAUCAGCUUGUUGGUGGGGUAACGGCCUACCAAGGCAACGACGGGUAGCUGGUUUGAGAGAACGAUCAGCCACACUGGGACUGAGACACGGCCCAGACUCCUACGGGAGGCAGCAGUGGGGAAUCUUGCGCAAUGGGCGAGAGCCUGACGCAGCAACGCCGCGUGCGGGAUGACGGCCUUCGUGGUUGUAAACCGCUUUCAGCAGGGACGAAAAUGACGGUACCUGCAGAAGAAGCCCCGGCUAACUACGUG